UGCGUAGGCGGUCCCGCAAGUCCGCUGUGAAAUCCCCGGGCUUAACCUGGGAAUGGCAGUGGAAACUAGGGGACUUGAAUCUGGCAGAGGGGGUGGAAUGGCCACGUGUAGCAGUGAAAUGCGUAGAGAUGUGGCGGAACACCGAUGGCGAAGGCAGCCCCCUGGGCUGAGAUUGACGCUCAGGCACGAAAGCGUGGGGAGCAAACAGGAUUAGAUACCCUGGUAGUCCACGCCCUAAACGAUGAUCACUAGGUGUUGGGAAGCGAUUUCUCAGUACCGCAGCUAACGCGCGAAGUGAGUCCGCCUGGGGAGUACGGUCGCAAGAUUAAA
Molecule: ribosomal RNA, 330 nt
Filed under: uncultured bacterium
Lineage: Bacteria
Description: bacterial SSU rRNA
Rfam family: Bacterial small subunit ribosomal RNA
Source: RNAcentral